This 30-nucleotide non-coding RNA is filed under the name Mus musculus (house mouse). Lineage: Eukaryota; Metazoa; Chordata; Mammalia; Rodentia; Muridae. The record is from RNAcentral.
UUUUAAAGGAAAAACAAGAGGGUUCUAGGC